GAUGAAGAACGUAGCGAAAUGCGAUAAGUAAUGUGAAUUGCAGAAUUCAGUGAAUCAUCGAAUCUUUGAACGCACAUUGCGCCCGCCAGUAUCCUGGCGGGCAUGCCUGUUCGAGCGUCAUUUCAACCAUCAAGCCCCAGGCUUGUGUUGGGGACCUGCGGCUGCCGCAGGCCCUGAAAACCAGUGGCGGGCUCGCUGUCACACCGGGCGUAGUAGAUUUUAUCUCGCUCAGGGCGUGCUGCGGGUUCCGGCCGUUAAAAAGCCUUUUUUACCCAAGGUUGACCUCGGAUCAGGUAGGAAGACCCGCUGAACUUAAGCAUAUCAAUAAGCGGAGGA
This 336-nucleotide unclassified non-coding RNA is filed under the name soil metagenome. RNAcentral's name for it is "partial contains 5.8S ribosomal RNA, internal transcribed spacer 2, and large subunit ribosomal RNA". The stretch from base 1 to 120 matches the Rfam family "5.8S ribosomal RNA", at positions 35 to 154 of the family's 154-position model. The record is from RNAcentral.